UGAUUUGGUCUUGAUUCCUACGGGAGGCAGCAGUGGGGAAUUAAGGACAAUGGGGGCAACCCUGAUCCAGCCAUUCCGCGUGAGUGAAGAAGGCCUUCGGGUUGUAAAGCUCUUUUGUCCGGAACGAAACGGUGCUCGUGAAUAUCGGGCGCUACUGACGGUACCGGAAGAAUAAGCACCGGCUAACUACGUGCCAGCAGCCGCGGUAAUACGUAGGGUGCGAGCGUUAAUCGGAAUUACUGGGCGUAAAGCGUGCGCAGGCGGUUUUGUAAGCCAGAUGUGAAAUCCCCGGGCUUAACCUGGGAAUGGCAUUUGGGACUGCAAGGCUUGAGUUUGGCAGAGGAGACUGGAAUUCCCGGUGUAGCAGUGAAAUGCGUAGAUAUCGGGAGGAAUACCGAUGGCGAAGGCGGCAUCCUGGACCGGUAUUGACGCUGAGGCGCGAAAGCCAGGGGAGCAAACGGGAUUAGAUACCCCGGUAGUCCUGGCCCUAAACGAUGAAUGCUUGGUGUGGCGGGUAUCGAUCCCUGCCGUGCCGAAGCUAACGCAUUAAGCAUUCCGCCUGGGGAGUACGGUCGCAAGGCUGAAACUCAAAGGAAUUGACGGGGGCCCGCACAAGCGGUGGAUUAUGUGGUUCAAUUCGACGCAACGCGCAGAACCUUACCCAGGCUUGAACUGCCGAUAACCUCCUACAAAAGUAGGCUCCCGAAAGGGCAUCUGUAGAGGUGCUGCAUGGCUGUCGUCAGCUCGUGUCGUGAGAUG
Molecule: ribosomal RNA, 759 nt
Filed under: uncultured beta proteobacterium
Lineage: Bacteria; Pseudomonadati; Pseudomonadota; Betaproteobacteria
Description: bacterial SSU rRNA
Rfam family: Bacterial small subunit ribosomal RNA
Source: RNAcentral